Molecule: ribosomal RNA, 518 nt
Filed under: Janthinobacterium algoris
Lineage: Bacteria; Pseudomonadati; Pseudomonadota; Betaproteobacteria; Burkholderiales; Oxalobacteraceae
Also listed under: 3 other names
Description: partial 16S ribosomal RNA
Rfam family: Bacterial small subunit ribosomal RNA
Source: RNAcentral
GGAGUGCUCGAAAGAGAACCAGUACACAGGUGCUGCAUGGCUGUCGUCAGCUCGUGUCGUGAGAUGUUGGGUUAAGUCCCGCAACGAGCGCAACCCUUGUCAUUAGUUGCUACGAAAGGGCACUCUAAUGAGACUGCCGGUGACAAACCGGAGGAAGGUGGGGAUGACGUCAAGUCCUCAUGGCCCUUAUGGGUAGGGCUUCACACGUCAUACAAUGGUACAUACAGAGCGCCGCCAACCCGCGAGGGGGAGCUAAUCGCAGAAAGUGUAUCGUAGUCCGGAUUGUAGUCUGCAACUCGACUGCAUGAAGUUGGAAUCGCUAGUAAUCGCGGAUCAGCAUGUCGCGGUGAAUACGUUCCCGGGUCUUGUACACACCGCCCGUCACACCAUGGGAGCGGGUUUUACCAGAAGUAGGUAGCUUAACCGCAAGGAGGGCGCUUACCACGGUAGGAUUCGUGACUGGGGUGAAGUCGUAACAAGGUAGCCGUAUCGGAAGGUGCGGCUGGAUCACCUCCUUU